AGCGAACGCUGGCGGCAGGCCUAACACAUGCAAGUCGAACGAACUCUUCGGAGUUAGUGGCGGACGGGUGAGUAACACGUGGGAACGUGCCUUUUGGUUCGGCAUAACUCAGGGAAACUUGUGCUAAUACCGAAUGUGCCCUUCGGGGGAAAGAUUUAUCGCCAUUAGAGCGGCCCGCGUCUGAUUAGCUAGUUGGUGAGGUAACGGCUCACCAAGGCGACGAUCAGUAGCUGGUCUGAGAGGAUGACCAGCCACACUGGGACUGAGACACGGCCCAGACUCCUACGGGAUGCAGCAGUGGGGAAUCGUGCGCAAUGGGCGAAAGCCUGACGCAGCCAUGCCGCGUGAAUGAUGAAGGUCUUAGGAUUGUAAAAUUCUUUCACCGGGGACGAUAAUGACGGUACCCGGAGAAGAAGCCCCGGCUAACUUCGUG
Molecule: ribosomal RNA, 433 nt
Filed under: uncultured bacterium
Lineage: Bacteria
Description: partial 16S ribosomal RNA
Rfam family: Bacterial small subunit ribosomal RNA
Source: RNAcentral